RNAcentral lists this unclassified non-coding RNA (105 nucleotides) under Oryza sativa (Asian cultivated rice). RNAcentral describes it as "partial microRNA MIR472a-23 precursor". Lineage: Eukaryota; Viridiplantae; Streptophyta; Magnoliopsida; Poales; Poaceae. The record is from RNAcentral.
AAUGUAAGUCAUUCUAGCAUUUCCCACAUUCAUAUUGAUGUUAAUUAAUCUAAUAGAUUAAUUAACAUCAAUAUGAAUGUGGGAAAUGCUAGAAUGACUUACAUA